AACGCGAAGAACCUUACCUGGGCUUGACAUGUGCCUGACCGGCGUGGAAACACGUCUUCCCUUCGGGGCAGGUUCACAGGUGGUGCAUGGCUGUCGUCAGCUCGUGUCGUGAGAUGUUGGGUUAAGUCCCGCAACGAGCGCAACCCCCGUCGCAUGUUGCCAGCAUUUAGUUGGGGACUCAUGCGAGACUGCCGGUGACAAACCGGAGGAAGGUGGGGAUGACGUCAAGUCCUCAUGCCCCUUAUGUCCAGGGCUACACACGUGCUACAUUGGCGUAUACAGAGGGCUGCGAUACCGCGAGGUGGAGCGAAUCCCUUAAAGUACGUCUCGGUUCGGAUUGCAGGCUGAAACUCGCCUGCAUGAAGGUGGAGUUGCUAGUAAUCGCGGAUCAGCAUUGCCGCGGUGAAUACGUUCCCGGGCCUUGUA
RNAcentral lists this ribosomal RNA (426 nucleotides) under uncultured Actinomycetes bacterium. Its description in RNAcentral is "bacterial SSU rRNA". It matches the Rfam family "Bacterial small subunit ribosomal RNA", at positions 958 to 1385 of the family's 1533-position model. The record is from RNAcentral. Lineage: Bacteria; Bacillati; Actinomycetota; Actinomycetes.